CUCGCUCCCCGGAGCCGGUCGGAGCGGCUCUGCCGCCUGCAGCCCCGCCGCUCCCUCCCGCGCUGGCGGCGGGCGCAGGGGGCUCGGACCCUGCCAAAGGCCAGAGGUAGAUUGACCGGGCGGCUUCCAGCAGCAGCGGCCGGGGAGACAGCUGCCGCGAGGGUUCACCUGCCCGCUCUCCGUUUCCUCUUCCUCGUCCUCACCCGGCCCCACCGGAGCCCCGCACAGCCAAUGAACACAGAUGUUGGGGUUCCCUUGGUAUCCAUGGCCUGCCGACUGUGAUGGUGACGUUCUGUCCCUGUGAUUUGAUGCACUUCGGUGAUGGUAAUCUGAAGUAAGCACCACCAGCUGAAUGAGUACAGGAAAGGAUCUCAAAUAGGUGGGAACGUGGAAAGGCAGCAGCAUCUUCAGGCAGGUUGCCAGUGAUACAAAAGACCAAAUGCUUUCACCUGGGGCAGAGAUACUGGGAGAUGAAAAGGAAUUAUACCAGAAAUCUUCCAAGAAAAUUAAGGUUUGAAGACAGAGAUCAGAAAAGGAUGGACCGAGAUGGAUGUGGUGAAAAGGGUACCAGUAGAAUGACAGGUAAUUUUUCCUGGUGCUUCUUUCUUAAACCCUUCUCUGAACCUGCUGUUUUGCAGAUAUGAUUGUCUGCUUCAG
RNAcentral lists this long non-coding RNA (657 nucleotides) under Parus major (Great Tit). RNAcentral describes it as "lncRNA (ENSPMJG00000005014.1)". Lineage: Eukaryota; Metazoa; Chordata; Aves; Passeriformes; Paridae. The record is from RNAcentral.